Molecule: small RNA, 148 nt
Filed under: Heyndrickxia ginsengihumi
Lineage: Bacteria; Bacillati; Bacillota; Bacilli; Caryophanales; Bacillaceae
Description: Bacillus ginsengihumi c-di-AMP sequence
Rfam family: c-di-AMP riboswitch aptamer (ydaO/yuaA leader)
About the family: This family represents a conserved RNA structure found upstream of the ydaO and yuaA genes in Bacillus subtilis and related genes in other bacteria. The ydaO/yuaA element is thought to act as a genetic "off" switch for the ydaO and yuaA genes in its native state. It is believed that the element may be triggered during osmotic shock leading to activation of ydaO, a predicted amino acid transporter gene, and members of the yuaA-yubG operon which code for KtrA and KtrB K+ transporters.
Source: RNAcentral
AUAACUUAAUCGCUUAAUCUAACAAGAGCGGGGGAACCAAUAUGUAGCAGUGAGAUGCUACAAUGGGGUGAAUUCUUUUAUAAAAGAUAGGGCUACUCUUAUGCCCGAACCCGACAGCUAACCUCGUAAGCGUUAUGGGAGAGAGAUG